GACGAACGCUGGCGGCGCGCUUAACACAUGCAAGUCGAACGGAAAGGCCUGCUUUCCCUUGUGUAUUGCGGGUACUCGAGUGGCUAACGGGUGAGUAACACGUGAGUGAUCUGCCCCCAACUUGGGUAUAAGCCUGGGAAACUGGGUCUAAUUCCCGAUAGGACUGCAGGGUGGUGCCUGUGGUGGAAAACGAUUUUCUAGUGGUUGGGGAUGAGCUCGCGGCCUAUCAGCUUGUUGGUGGGGUAAUGGCCUACCAAGGCGGCGACGGGUAGCCGGCCUGAGAGGGUGGGCGGGCACAUUGGGAAUGAGGUACGGCCUAGACUCCGACGGGAGGAAGGAGUGGGGAAUAGUGCGCAAUGUGGGGGGGGGUGAUGCAGCGGCGGCGGGUGGGGGCUGCCGGCCGUAGGAUUGUAAGCUCCUUUCGACCGCGAGGAAGCCAGCCGGUUGGAAGGGUGGUGAUGGUAGCGGUAGAAGAAGCACCGGCUAUCUACG
This 492-nucleotide ribosomal RNA is filed under the name uncultured bacterium. RNAcentral's name for it is "partial 16S ribosomal RNA". It matches the Rfam family "Bacterial small subunit ribosomal RNA", at positions 28 to 505 of the family's 1533-position model. The record is from RNAcentral.